CAAAAGUGUGCCCGCAUGUGAGUGUGGCUGUUGUGGAGCGCAAGUGCAGCGGGUUUUAGCGCGCCGCGCUACAGAACUCGGAAACCACCGGGGUUCCAUUCCCCGCUCACGUCUACACCUGCACGGCCGCAGAUGCAUCGUCGUAGCGCACACGCGCGUCGUUCCUUGAAGACGACACGGCGGACCGCCGAAGAGCCGAGUCUGGGCCCGAGCAGUCCCCACCGUUAAUUCGCGCCACUUAUUCGUCGACGGCUGCUUUGUCCACAUCUGAGUGCGUGACGUCAUUUAUGGACGGCCCCUAAACAGUCAGCCGACCGGCAGGCCCGCGUGUGUUCAGGUGCACUACUCCCACCUCUUCCAAGAUAUUUGGCCAGCGUGGAAGAGUAGGCCGAAAUGAUCUGCUGCAGGGGUGCUCUCCAAAGCUCCGUCUAGUGGAGGCCUUUCCAGCAGCAGCGGCUUGAGCCAGCAAUUGCAGGGCUCCACCUUUACCUGUACUCGUCGCACUCUCAGCAAUUACACGCGAGCGCGUUUUGCACGCGCAGUCGUAAUUGCCUCCUCUCGCGAAAGGAAAUCGUUUUUAGAUGAUCGUGUAAGUAUAGUUUCCAAAUCUUAGUGGUUUUCAAUUGAGUUCGUUAUUUCUUUUCAUUUCAUUUUCCCGCGGAAUUCAUCACUUCUCUUCCACAUUACGCGGUCUAAUGACGUGGGUGCGAUAAAUUAUUCAGCUCUCCUCCAAGCCGCGGAAACACAGACGAUCUCAGCGAACCCAAUAGAAGAAACCCGCUCCAGUCCUGCGUCCGUAUGGUGUUCAACACAACGAUGGUGGUGGUUGUGGUGGCGAUCAGUCCACGUGGAGAUCGACACGGAGGUCCACAACCCCCCACCCACCCAGCUGCAGCCAAUGGGACAAUGCGCUUCGUGCGCUCUGAACGGAGCAGGCAGUAAUGUGAACCGCGACGUCGAGUUUCCCCAUUUGCUGUUUAGGGUUUCCCAACAAAUCCAAAUCCUCGCCAACCUCCGCACUGCGUAUCUACACUUGCACCAGUCUC
Long non-coding RNA from Lethenteron reissneri (Far Eastern brook lamprey), 1046 nucleotides. RefSeq lists it as uncharacterized. Lineage: Eukaryota; Metazoa; Chordata; Hyperoartia; Petromyzontiformes; Petromyzontidae. The record is from RefSeq and is a predicted model, not a curated record.